This 319-nucleotide ribosomal RNA is filed under the name uncultured eukaryote. RNAcentral's name for it is "partial 18S ribosomal RNA". It matches the Rfam family "Eukaryotic small subunit ribosomal RNA", at positions 1470 to 1796 of the family's 1831-position model. The record is from RNAcentral.
CCCUUAGAUGUUCUGGGCAGCACGCGCGCUACAAUGGUCUUCGCAAACGGAUGCAUUCUCGAAGGAGAAUGCCAAUCUUGGAAUCUAUGCCUUGGUCGGGACAGUUGCUUGCAAUUUUUCGACUCGAACCAGGAAUUCCUUGUAAUCGUGAUUCAUCACAUCAAGAUGAAUACGUCCCUGCCCUUUGUACACACCGCCCGUCGCUCCUACCGAUCGAAGAGUUAGGUGAAUUGUUUUGAUCGAUAAGAUUUGACUAUGGUCAACUCUCGUUGUGAAAUUCUGUGAAUCUGACUGUUUAGAGGAAGGAAAAGUCGUAACA